AUGAGCAGUAUCUCUAUGUGUGCAGCAGCAACACAUGCUUCCAGUAGCUUCCAUCACAUGCCCCAGGUCUCUGUGUCCCCUUCCUGCCCCUUUUCCCUUUCCCAAAUUCCUCUCCUGCAUCUGAAUCUGUGUACUGGUGCUGCAAACCUGAGGGCUCUCCAACCCAGCUGGUUAACUAGUCAGCUGCACACAGAAUUCGGAUCUGUGUUACAGUGGGCAGUGACACUGUCCACCCUCCAAUGUCACCCUGUCACCAUGUUCAGGGGAUGCAUCCAUGCAGCCAUCAUCACCAACACCAGCAAGAUGAUAUUUCUGUUGGUCACUUUCAGAGGCAAAUGCUGGUCACUUUCAGUCAGAGGAAAUGCAGCACCAUUUUGA
RNAcentral lists this ribosomal RNA (378 nucleotides) under Triticum aestivum (bread wheat). Its description in RNAcentral is "partial small subunit ribosomal RNA". Lineage: Eukaryota; Viridiplantae; Streptophyta; Magnoliopsida; Poales; Poaceae. The record is from RNAcentral.